This 497-nucleotide ribosomal RNA is filed under the name uncultured bacterium. RNAcentral's name for it is "partial 16S ribosomal RNA". It matches the Rfam family "Bacterial small subunit ribosomal RNA", at positions 28 to 507 of the family's 1533-position model. The record is from RNAcentral.
GAUGAACGCUGGCGGCGUGCCUAAUACAUGCAAGUCGAGCGAACAGACGAGGAGCUUGCUCCUCUGACGUUAGAGGCGGACGGGUGAGUAACACGUGGAUAACCUACCUAUAAGACUGGGAUAACUUCGGGAAACCGGAGAUAAUACCGGAUAAUAUAUUGAACGGCAGGGGUCAGUAGGGAAAGACGGUUUUGCUGUCACUUAUAGCUGGAUCCGCGCCGCAUGAGCUAGUUGGUAAGGUAACGGCUUACCAAGGGAACGAUGCGUAGCCGACCUGAGAGGGUGAUCGGCCGCACUGGAACUGGAACACGGACCAUGCGCCUACGGGAGGCAGCAGUAGGGUACGUGACGCAAUGGGCGGAAGCCUUGCGGAAUGGGGGCGAGUCAGUGACGGAGGCCUUCGGUUCGUAAAACUCGCUUUCUAGGUAAGAACCAAUUUGUAAGGUACUAUGGACUUCUUGACGGUAACUAGUCAGAAAGCCACGGCUAACUACGUG